Non-coding RNA from Phoenix dactylifera (date palm), 2545 nucleotides. Lineage: Eukaryota; Viridiplantae; Streptophyta; Magnoliopsida; Arecales; Arecaceae. The record is from RefSeq and is a predicted model, not a curated record.
UUGGUAUUGGAGUUGGGUGUGAAAGCAUCUUCUUUUUGCAACCCACUAUCUCACCUUUUUGCCCUAUCACCAUGCACUCACAUCCACAUUCAUAGAAUUACAUAUUAAUUUAUUAGGCUACCCCCGGGGGAGAGUGGCAUUGUUUAAGAUGCUUCAUGUCCUCACCCACAGCAAUUGGCUUUGACUUUAUCAAGAUGGAAGUCCAGUAGUUGCUUGUUCUGACGCGGAACAUCUGAAUUGCGUACCGCCCGGGAGAGCAGCAGAAUGCGGGCACAAAUGUUAAAAUAUCGAAGUCCAUCUUAUUUAAAAAAUUAAAAUAUCAAGCAGCCAUUACAAAUGUUCCUUAGCUUCAAGUUGCAAGCAGUAUAUAUACAAUGGCCCAUCCAUGCAAGGACUAAAUGAUUUGUUCCAAGCCUCCUUCAAGCCUUCAGAGAUUAUCCAAAGGCUUAUUUUCUCUUCCCUUGAGGUUCCAAGGUUGGAUACAUGGGAGAAGAUCUCAAGGAGAUGUUUCGAAAAGUCUCAUCGCCACGAGCCGAAGAUGCGGAUGAGCUCUGUGAGUCUGCAUCUCUCUCAACUGCUGACUCCGGGGACUCCAUGUUCUCAUCUUCAUCUGAUCUCACAGAUGAUGCAACUUCCUCAUCAUCUCCCAAGCCAUUCUCAACGUCGUCGAAUGCAUCGAAAUUGGAUUCGGAUGGGCCUGUUUUCGAGUUCUCUUUGCUCAUGGCUCAUCUUCCCAUCAAGAAAAAAGCUUGAUAACAAUUCUUAGCUCAAAAUAAUAGUUCCACAGAGCUCAAAUGACUCGAGGUUCAACCAAUAAAAAGGUUCUCUUUUGCUCUUUCUUCUGCUACAAUCAUUCUAUUUAACAUGCAAAAAUUUAAGCAUGGUUAAAUGGCAUGAUAUAUCUCACUAAUGAAAAAGAUGGCAUGACCAUCCGACAUCUUACACUAGGAUUUGUAUCAGAGAGCAUACUGGUAUAUAGCUUCUGCAGUGCCAUCCUGGUAAUCGGUGGCUCCAAUCACAUCUGCCACAGCUUUAGCCCUUUCUGACCCGUUUCCCAGGGCAAUGCCCAGUGAUGCUAGCUGUAGCAUCUCUGUCAUUUUCUCCAUUGCCAGGUCAUGAUCUGGUCAAAAAUUAGGUCAUCUUUGUCACCUUGAAAGAAAGGGUGAUGCCUAGAACUGAAGAUAGAAUUUUGGAGAGAUAGCAAAUUGGAUAAAAAAGAAGUUAAAUCAUUGUUUGUUCUAAGAUUCUCUGUUGGAAACAUUAGAGAUUGUGUAAAAUGUCAGCUAAAAGACACUAGAAAGAAUGGCAAAGAGCAUAAAUUAAAGGCACGUAUAAUUCUCAAAAUUUAGGACUGUGGAAAUAUAACAAUGCUAAAUGCCAUUCUAACUGCCAGAGGAAAGGAGCCCAGCAGGGGUGGAACGAGCUGGAACGAGCGUAUGUAAAUCAUCAUCCUUACGAUAGAUUAUUAUACCUGAGAGCUGUCAUUGGCACUUGUUAUAUUAUUAUACAUUAGAAUCUCCAUCUUGCGAUAUGUUAGUCUCCUCAACCUAAUAACUUCAGAUGGCCUAGCAACAUAUAUGAUCUUGCAAAGGAGACAUCCAAUAACACAUAUAUUAAACAUAAUCUAAUGCCGUAUUGGAAAUUUUAUUAAGACAAGGGAUAUUACUAGGGGAAGUACAGAUGAAGACGGUAAAAGAAGGUAAUUCACACCUCUUUUGUGGUAAUUCCAAGGCGAUCCAGCAGCACUUUUUCCCCACUACAUUUUGAAGUUCCAGAGGGGAUGAUUUCAACCAUAUCUGGCAGUGCCUUGAUACUAUGUGCACUAAUCCUGUUGCUUCAAACCAAUAUGGCUGUGAGGUAGAUGACACCGUCUCAGGCAUGUCGAGAUAAAGCAGCUUCUGCAAAUACAGAAUUAUUCCCAGAAGUAAGGCGUUCACAUUAAUUCCAACCUACUUUUAGUCAAAAAGAUCAUGCUGAACUCUCCCUCAACAAUGAUAGCUUAGUCAUGCCUUCACUAAGCAAAAUUUUGAUAAGUGUGUCAAGUGCAGAAUCUUGCUUUGUUAGAAUCUGGCACCUAUGUGCUGGAUUAAAUAUGAUACACAAUGUGCCAAGGACUGUCUAACCUAAAAGCCGAAAAGAAGAAAAGAAAAAGGAGCCUAGAAUGAAAUAAAUGUUAUAAAGGUUUCAUCCAUUAAAAAAAAUGCAGGCAACAUAUUAAGACAUUUUUGGUCAAAUAUUGGUAUUUGUAUGCACUAGAAUGUAGCAUGUGCAAAGCACAUGUUUUUUAAAUUUCAGAGUAAAAAAUAAAAAUAUAUUUAAAUAAAUAAUAAUGUUGGAGGAAGGACUCCAACCUUAGACCUUAUGGUUAACAACUAAAUGCUAAUUUGUCCAACCCCACAUGAAGGAUGACAUUUAAUAGAUGUUCUCAAUUAAAUGUUCAAAUAAGUGGACUCUGACUAGAUAAGGAAUAGACAGAAUUGGCUGAAAAAGACUUGAAACUCCUUGAUGGUUUUAAAUGAUGAAAAAAUAGCAGAAAUUGAAUAAG